This 253-nucleotide ribosomal RNA is filed under the name uncultured bacterium. RNAcentral's name for it is "partial 16S ribosomal RNA". It matches the Rfam family "Bacterial small subunit ribosomal RNA", at positions 524 to 776 of the family's 1533-position model. The record is from RNAcentral.
GACGAAGGGGGCUAGCGUUGUUCGGAAUUACUGGGCGUAAAGCGCGCGUAGGCGGGUUGGUAAGUCCGCUGUGAAAGCCCGGAGCUCAACUCCGGAGGGUCGGUGGAUACUGCCAGUCUUGAAGGUGCUAGGGGGAGAUGGAAUUACCGGUGUAGCGGUGAAAUGCGUAGAGAUCGGUAGGAACACCAGUGGCGAAGGCGGUCUCCUGGGGCAUACUUGACGCUGAGGCGCGAAAGCUGGGGGAGCGAACGGG